CCUACGGGUGGCAGCAGUGGGGAAUAUUUCACAAUGGGGGAAACCCUGAUGCAGCAACGCCGCGUGAGUGAAUAAGUAUUUCGGUAUGUAAAGCUCUAUCAGCAGGGAAGAGAAUGACGGUACCUGACUAACAAGCCCCUGCUAACUACGUCCCAGCAGCCGCGGUAAUACGUAGGGGGCAAGCUUUCGCCGGAUUUGCUGGGUGUAAAGGUAGCGUAGACGGCUGGGCAAGUCUGAAGUGAAAGGCCGGGGCUGAACCCCGGAACGGCUUUGGAAACUGGCCGGCUGGAGUGCUGGAGAGGCAGGCGGAAUUCCUGGUGUAGCGGUGAAAUGCGUAGAUAUCAGGAGGAACACCGGUGGCGAAGGCGGCCUGCUGGACAGUAACUGACGUUGAGGCUCGAAAGCGUGGGGAGCAAACAGGAUUAGAUACCCUAGUAGUC
This 440-nucleotide ribosomal RNA is filed under the name uncultured bacterium. Its description in RNAcentral is "partial 16S ribosomal RNA". It matches the Rfam family "Bacterial small subunit ribosomal RNA", at positions 338 to 795 of the family's 1533-position model. The record is from RNAcentral.